Mirounga angustirostris (Northern elephant seal) is the source of this 1286-nucleotide long non-coding RNA. RefSeq lists it as uncharacterized. The record is from RefSeq and is a predicted model, not a curated record. The transcript has 4 exons. Lineage: Eukaryota; Metazoa; Chordata; Mammalia; Carnivora; Phocidae.
CCGGCCCCCCCCGCCGCCCGGCCCCGCGCCCGCGGCCCGAGGGCUGCAGCCGGCGCUCCGGGCGCCGAGACUCGUCGCGAGCCGCGUCCGCAGAGCACGCCGGCGCGGCCGUGUGGCAGCAGCGGUGUGACUGACGGGCCGCGGCGCGGGGCCAUCCCGGCCGCGCGGUUCGCGUUACGACUUGGAACCGGCUUCUGCCCCCCGGCCUCGUGCCCGCCCUCUCCCGGGCCGCCGCUUCGCGCCCGGGGAGACGACUGGGCGCCCGACGCCUGCGCCUUCUUCCCUCCCGCGCCUGCCGCGCUGCGGGGCCUCGGGCCGCCCGCCAGGCCCGCUCCCGGCCCGCGCCGCCGUCGGGGGGCUCCGCUCACGGGCCGCCCGGCCCGCGCCGCCGUCGGGGGGCUCCGCUCACGGGCCGCCCGGCCCGCGCCGCCGGAGCUGCCAAAUCUGCAGCUCAGUUUUUCAAAAACCACCUCGUGAUGUGCGCACCCUGGAGCCGCCACCCCCGCCCCGGUGCGAGCUCUUCGCUCCCCAGCCCGGCCCCUCUUCCAGGUGCUUCUCGAGGCCCCCCCGGGCCUCCGCAGACGCCGGCUCCAGCCAGGGGCCCGUCUCCCCGCUGUCGCCCCAACUUCUGCAGCCCGGGAGCUGCUCCCGGACGACGGCGCCUGGACCGCGCCGAGAGUGGGGCUGUGUUUUGUCAACUAGGCAACACCAGACACGCGGACGAGUCCAGAAAAUUAUACUGAUGACACCCACGCCCCCCACUCAAGAGUAAACAUAAAGCGUUUUGCUUCAUUUACUUGGUUUGCGAAAACGACGUCAUGCUGAAUAAUCUUUUGCAACUUCUCUCAUUUCCUGUUACGUUUUGGAGAUUCAUCUGUAGUUUUAGAUAUUGACUAUUCAUUUUCUAUGAUGGAAAAGGACGCUCUGGCUAUUUUGUAUCCUCAACAAAAGUAUGAUCUUCCCUGUUCCCAUUCUUUCAGUGUGGUUAUAUGAUAAUUUUUGCUCUCCAACAGAAUAGUGGAAGACAUGGCUGAGUCUAUGAAUGGUCAGUCUGGGGGGAUCUUCUCUCCUAGAGCACUUGGACUUCUUGCUCCACCCGGACCGGUCGCUCUGUGGGGCCGACUGCGGCCCCCACCAUCAUCCUGAGGGUCCCUUCAUCCCCCAUCCUCUAACCUGCUUCCUGCAUCCCCCGUUGUGCUCGCACUUCAUGUACUCCUUCACUGUAGUGGAGAACAGUCCCCACUAGUUUCCUGAGAAAAAAAAGAGUACAUAAAACAUAAAACCCA